RNAcentral lists this ribosomal RNA (430 nucleotides) under uncultured bacterium. RNAcentral's name for it is "bacterial SSU rRNA". It matches the Rfam family "Bacterial small subunit ribosomal RNA", at positions 30 to 454 of the family's 1533-position model. The record is from RNAcentral.
AUUGAACGCUGGCGGCAGGCCUAACACAUGCAAGUCGAGCGGUAACAGGAAAUAGCUUGCUAUUUUGCUGACGAGCGGCGGACGGGUGAGUAACGCGUAGGAAUUUGCCCAGUAGUGGGGGAUAGCCCGGAGAAAUUCGGAUUAAUACCGCAUACGCCCUAAGGGGGAAAGCAGGGGAUCUUCGGACCUUGCGCUAUUGGAUAAGCCUGCGUGAGAUUAGCUAGUUGGUGAGGUAAGGGCGUCACCAAGGCGACGAUCUCUAGCUGGUCUGAGAGGAUGAUCAGCCACACUGGAACUGAGACACGGUCCAGACUCCUACGGGAGGCAGCAGUGGGGAAUAUUGCACAAUGGGCGCAAGCCUGAUCCAGCAAUGCCGCGUGAGCGAUGAAGGCCUCGGUCGUAAGUACUCUGUGGGAGGAGAGAAUAAAGA